CGGGGCGUAGCGCAGCUUGGUAGCGCACUUGUCUGGGGGGCAAGUGGUCGCAGGUUCAAAUCCUGUCGUCCCGACCA
Molecule: transfer RNA, 77 nt
Filed under: Methylocucumis oryzae
Lineage: Bacteria; Pseudomonadati; Pseudomonadota; Gammaproteobacteria; Methylococcales; Methylococcaceae
Also listed under: 2 other names
Description: tRNA-Pro
Rfam family: tRNA
About the family: Transfer RNA (tRNA) molecules are approximately 80 nucleotides in length. Their secondary structure includes four short double-helical elements and three loops (D, anti-codon, and T loops). Further hydrogen bonds mediate the characteristic L-shaped molecular structure. tRNAs have two regions of fundamental functional importance: the anti-codon, which is responsible for specific mRNA codon recognition, and the 3' end, to which the tRNAs corresponding amino acid is attached (by aminoacyl-tRNA synthetases). tRNAs cope with the degeneracy of the genetic code in two manners: having more than one tRNA (with a specific anti-codon) for a particular amino acid; and 'wobble' base-pairing, i.e. permitting non-standard base-pairing at the 3rd anti-codon position.
Source: RNAcentral